RNAcentral lists this small nuclear RNA (132 nucleotides) under Salvator merianae (Argentine black and white tegu). RNAcentral describes it as "U4 spliceosomal RNA (ENSSMRG00000021808.1)". It matches the Rfam family "U4 spliceosomal RNA". Rfam says of the family: U4 small nuclear RNA (U4 snRNA) is a component of the major U2-dependent spliceosome. The structure of U4 snRNA from yeast and human has been reported. U4 snRNA presents a k-turn RNA motif in the 5p-SL related to recognition of Snu13 protein. Lineage: Eukaryota; Metazoa; Chordata; Lepidosauria; Squamata; Teiidae. The record is from RNAcentral.
AGCUUUGCGCAGUGGCAGUAUCGUUGCCAAUGAGGUUUAUCCGAGGCACGAUUAUUGCUAAUUGAAAACUUUUCCCAAUACCCCGCCAUGACGACUUGAAAUAUCAUCAGCAUUGGCACUAAAAAAAAAAAU